Molecule: ribosomal RNA, 256 nt
Filed under: uncultured bacterium
Lineage: Bacteria
Description: partial 16S ribosomal RNA
Rfam family: Bacterial small subunit ribosomal RNA
Source: RNAcentral
CGGACGGGUGAGUAACGCGUGGGCAACCUGCCCUUAUCUGGGGGAGUAACAGUUGGAAACGACUGAUAAUACCGCAUAAUAUGGUUUGAAGGCAUCUUCUUUCCAUCAAAGAUUUAUCGGAUAAGGAUGGGCCCGCGUCUGAUUAGCUUGUUGGUGAGGUAACGGCUCACCAAGGCGACGAUCAGUAGCCGACCUGAGAGGGUGAUCGGCCACAUUGGAACUGAGACACGGUCCAAACUCCUACGGGAGGCAGCAG